This 211-nucleotide long non-coding RNA is filed under the name Helianthus annuus (common sunflower). RNAcentral's name for it is "sRNA HanXRQr2_Chr08g0351891". Lineage: Eukaryota; Viridiplantae; Streptophyta; Magnoliopsida; Asterales; Asteraceae. The record is from RNAcentral.
UUCUUCUCUAUAAGCUCUAAGUGGAGGCUACCACAUUUGUUGGAGGCUUCCUACAUGAGUUUUCUAGUGCUGUUGUUUGAUGAUUAUGAUGAUUCACGUAGGAUCGGGCACGGGCCUUAGUGACAUAAAACAUGAAAGACAAUAUGUUUGAACACAUUUAUUUUUACUUCAAAACAAUGUUAAACACUUUUUAAUUCAAUAAAACAUAACU